CUGGCCCUGAAUCAAGGCUGGCAGUUUCCUGAUGGUGUUUCAAGCAGGAGCCUAAAGAGAUGUCUUUCGAUGGUCUGUUGGCCAUUUCAGAACUUGGGCAGUGAAAUGGUCAAUUCAUUAGAAAGAAACAGCU
Molecule: small nucleolar RNA, 133 nt
Organism: Cavia aperea (Brazilian guinea pig)
Lineage: Eukaryota; Metazoa; Chordata; Mammalia; Rodentia; Caviidae
Source: Ensembl